Sebastes umbrosus (honeycomb rockfish) is the source of this 1540-nucleotide RNA transcript. It is a transcript of the gene named keratin-associated protein 5-5-like, with no coding region annotated. Lineage: Eukaryota; Metazoa; Chordata; Actinopteri; Perciformes; Sebastidae. The record is from RefSeq and is a predicted model, not a curated record. The transcript has 7 exons.
UGUUGUAAAUUAUAUUUAGAUCAGUUGCAAAUGUCUGAGGACUAGUUGCAGAGGUCUGAGGACUAGUUGGAGAGGUCUGGGGUCUAGUUGCAGAGGUCUGGGGUCUAGUUGCAGAGGUCUGAGGACUAGUUGGAGAGGUCUGGGUACUAGUUGUAGAGGUCUGGGGACUAGUUGGAGAGGUCUGGGGACUAGUUGGAGAGGUCUGGGGUCUAGUUGCAGAGGUCUAGGGUCUAGUUGCAAAUGUCUGGGGACUAGUUGCAGAGGUCUGGGGAGUAGUUGUAGAGGUCUGGGGACUAGUUGCAGAGGUCUGUGGACUAGUUGCAGAGGUCUGGGACUAGUUGCAGAGGUCUGGGGACUAGUUGCAGAGGUCUGAGGACUAGUUGUAGAGGUCUGGGGACUAGUUGCAGAGGUCUGGGGACUAGUUGCAGAGGUCUGGGGACUAAUUGCAGAGGUCUGAGGACUAGUUGCAGAGGUCUGAGGACUAGUUGUGGAGGUCUGUGGACUAGUUGUGGAGGUCUGGGGACUAAUUGCAGAGGUCUGAGGACUAGUUGUGGAGGUCUGAGGACUAGUUGUGGAGGUCUGGUGACUAGUUGCAGAGGUCUGUGGACUAGUUGUGGAGGUCUGGGGACUAAUUGCAGAGGUCUGGUGACUAGUUGCAGAGGUCUGGUGACUAGUUGCAGAGGUCUGUGGACUAGUUGCAGAGGUCUGGGGACUAGUUGCAGAGGUCUGAGGACUAGUUGCAGAGGUCUGAGGACUAGUUGUGGAGGUCUGGGGACUAAUUGCAGAGGUCUGGUGACUAGUUGUGGAGGUCUGGUGACUAGUUGCAGAGGUCUGGGGACUAGUUGCAGAGGUCUGAGGACUAGUUGCAGAGGUCUGAGGACUAGUUGUGGAGGUCUGGGGACUAAUUGCAGAGGUCUGGUGACUAGUUGCAGAGGUCUGAGGACUAGUUGUGGAGGUCUGUGGACUAGUUGUGGAGGUCUGGGGACUAAUUGCAGAGGUCUGAGGACUAGUUGUGGAGGUCUGGUGACUAGUUGCAGAGGUCUGUGGACUAGUUGUGGAGGUCUGGGGACUAAUUGCAGAGGUCUGGUGACUAGUUGCAGAGGUCUGAGGACUAGUUGUGGAGGUCUGGUGACUAGUUGCAGAGGUCUGGUGACUAGUUGCAGAGGUCUGUGGACUAGUUGUGGAGGUCUGGGGACUAAUUGCAGAGGUCUGGUGACUAGUUGCAGAGGUCUGUGGACUAGUUGCAAAUGUCUUGGGACUAGUUGCAAAUGUUUUGGGACUAGUUUCAGAGUUCUGCGGACUAGUUGUAGAGGCCUGGGAACUAGUUGCAAAGGUCCGGGGAGUAGUUUCAGUGGUCUGGGGACUAGUUGUAGAAUUUUGUUGACUAGUUGCAGAAGUCUGGGGACCAGUUGUAGAGGUCUGGGGACGAGUUGCAGAAUUCUGUUGACUAGCUACAGAGAUCUAGGGAUCAGUUACAGAGGUCUGAAUUCUGAAACAGACGACCCUGACAAUGAUUUUAUGAAAUAUUAUAAAUGAUAUA